AAGGUAGUUGUGGACGGUUCACGAGUGAGAAUGCAGGCAUGAGUAGCGAUUCACACGUGAGAAACGUGUGCGCCGAUUGACUAAGGGUUCCUGGGUCAAGCUGAUCUGCCCAGGGUAAGUCGGGACCUAAGGCGAGGCCGACAGGCGUAGUCGAUGGAUAACCGGUUGAUACUCCGGUACCCGCUGAGAAGCGUCAAACAUCGAAUCCAGUGAUGCUAAGCCCGUGAAGCCGUUCCGGACCCUUCGGGGAAAGGAAAGUGGUGGAGCCGGUGACCCGAUCUGGU
Molecule: non-coding RNA, 284 nt
Filed under: Streptomyces afghaniensis 772
Lineage: Bacteria; Bacillati; Actinomycetota; Actinomycetes; Kitasatosporales; Streptomycetaceae
Description: Bacterial large subunit ribosomal RNA
Rfam family: Bacterial large subunit ribosomal RNA
Source: Rfam by way of RNAcentral